Long non-coding RNA from Perca flavescens (yellow perch), 686 nucleotides. RefSeq lists it as uncharacterized. NCBI's taxonomy places the organism in Eukaryota, Metazoa, Chordata, Actinopteri, Perciformes, Percidae. The record is from RefSeq and is a predicted model, not a curated record. The transcript has 3 exons.
GCAAACUGUCAUCUGCUGUUCAGUCUUUUGACUAUAAACAACAGAGGAGACAGCGAAAGGAGCCUGCUGAGCCACACACAGCCUCAUCACCACGUCUGAUGUUACCAAAUCCUUAUGUGUCCGAGCAGAGUUUAAGAGGGUAGAAGGAUGAUUGAUUACAGAUUUGUUUAUCUUGAUAAAAGUAAUCAAUCAUUUGGCCUGAUAUCAAGCCCCUCAUUUGUGUUUCUAAUUUCUAAACUUUGUGAAGGAACCGGUCGCCAGGUCUGACCACAAAGCAGAAUCCAUCAAAUACAUAUGAAGUGCCAGCAGGAAAAGGAGAUGUGUCAAGGAGUCGUGGCUACAGCAGCAGUCGUUGUGUUAGAGACACCAGUGAUGACUUCCUGCAGAGAGACAGGUCCAAAUGGGAUCCACAAGGAAAGACAUCAAAAGGCAACAAUGGCUCUCUGGCCAAAGGCAGGGUUAUGGGCAAGAGCUCACUGGAUGCACAGAAAAAAGGUUUUAGAGGUGCCAGAUCUGCCCCGGACUCUGCAGGGAAGCCAAAACCAGCACUGACCGACUUUGUCCCAUUUGAAGUGAAGAUGACUGAUUUCCCAGAGUUAGCUGGUGGUUCGCUGGGCAAACCGGGCUCUCCUCAUGUUCAGAGAGAGUGCUGGGGUCCAACUCAAACACAAACCUCGGCAUCUUCC